RNAcentral lists this ribosomal RNA (439 nucleotides) under uncultured bacterium. RNAcentral's name for it is "partial 16S ribosomal RNA". It matches the Rfam family "Bacterial small subunit ribosomal RNA", at positions 339 to 795 of the family's 1533-position model. The record is from RNAcentral.
CUACGGGUCGCUCCAGUGGGGAAUAUUGCACAAUGGGGGAAACCCUGAUGCAGCAACGCCGCGUGGAGGAUGACGCAUUUCGGUGUGUAAACUCCUUUUAUAUAGGAAGAUAAUGACGGUACUAUAUGAAUAAGCACCGGCUAACUCCGUGCCAGCAGCCGCGGUAAUACGGAGGGUGCAAGCGUUACUCGGAAUCACUGGGCGUAAAGCGCGCGCAGGCGGCCCCUUAAGUUGGAUGUGAAAGCCUACGGCUUAACCGUAGAACUGCAUCCAAAACUGAGGGGCUAGAGUCUGGGAGGGGAAGAUGGAAUUAGUUGUGUAGGGGUAACAUCCGUAGAGAUAACUAGGAAUACCAAGAGCGAAGGCGAUCUUCUGGAACAGUACUGACGCUGAGGCGCGAAAGCGUGGGGAGCAAACAGGAUUAGAUACCCCCGUAGUC